AUCCAGCUGACUAGUCCCCAAAAAGGACGAAACGGGCGUCCUAGAU
Molecule: non-coding RNA, 46 nt
Filed under: Schistosoma mattheei
Lineage: Eukaryota; Metazoa; Platyhelminthes; Trematoda; Strigeidida; Schistosomatidae
Source: RNAcentral